This 507-nucleotide ribosomal RNA is filed under the name Boophis madagascariensis (Madagascar bright-eyed frog). RNAcentral describes it as "partial 16S ribosomal RNA". It matches the Rfam family "Bacterial large subunit ribosomal RNA", at positions 1932 to 2605 of the family's 2925-position model. The record is from RNAcentral. Lineage: Eukaryota; Metazoa; Chordata; Amphibia; Anura; Mantellidae.
CGCGGUACCCUAACCGUGCGAAGGUAGCAUAAUCACUUGUUCUUUAAAUGAGGACUCGUAUCAACGGCAUCACGAGGAUCCUACUGUCUCCCCCCUCUAAUCGGUGAAACUGAUCUCUCCGUGAAGAAGCGGAGAUGUACAUAUAAGACGAGAAGACCCCAUGGAGCUUUAAACCCAACGACACCCGCCCCCCUCCAAAUCCUACUAUUUACCCGGUGAUUGUUUGUUUGGUUUUAGGUUGGGGUGACCGCGGAGUAUAAGAUAUCCUCCAUGAAAAAAAGCUAACUGCCCUUAUUAGAGAAAGACACUUCCAAAAAAUAAUAAAUUAAUUUUAAAUGAUCCGACAUUCGAUCAACGAACCAAGUUACCCUGGGGAUAACAGCGCAAUCCGUCCCGAGAGCCCCUAUCGACAGGCGGGUUUACGACCUCGAUGUUGGAUCAGGGUAUCCUAGUGGUGCAGCAGCUACUAAAGGUUCGUUUGUUCAACGAUUAAAACCCUACGUGAUC